Molecule: non-coding RNA, 203 nt
Organism: Pelobates cultripes (western spadefoot toad)
Lineage: Eukaryota; Metazoa; Chordata; Amphibia; Anura; Pelobatidae
Source: the annotation of a GenBank genome assembly
GUCACACUGCUAUAAUACCCUAAAACAUAGGCCCUUCAAAUCCAUCUUCGAAAAUUCUAACUAUAGAAACUGAAAGAGCCUUGUCUCUUAUAUGGUAUUGUAGCUUUACAGAAAAGUGCCAAAGGCAUUUAAUUGGGGUAUUUUUAUACUCAGCAAAUGUACCUGAACACAAUAUGGGGUUCUGUGUAGAAAUAGCACACACC